UACGGAGGGAGCUAGCGUUGUUCGGAAUUACUGGGCGUAAAGCGCACGUAGGCGGCUUUGUAAGUAAGAGGUGAAAGCCUGGAGCUCAACUCCAGAAUAGCCUUUUAGACUGCAUCGCUUGAAUCCGGGAGAGGUGAGUGGAAUUCCGAGUGUAGAGGUGAAAUUCGUAGAUAUUCGGAAGAACACCAGUGGCGAAGGCGGCUCACUGGACCGGUAUUGACGCUGAGGUGCGAAAGCGUGGGGAGCAAACAGG
RNAcentral lists this ribosomal RNA (253 nucleotides) under uncultured bacterium. Its description in RNAcentral is "partial 16S ribosomal RNA". It matches the Rfam family "Bacterial small subunit ribosomal RNA", at positions 524 to 776 of the family's 1533-position model. The record is from RNAcentral.